UUGUGACAAGAUAUGGUUCACCUAGGACAUGGACACUAGUAAGAUAAGUUUCAUAUAUAAUCACUCUGAAAACUGGGAGAGAUUAACAUAGAAACUCAAAUAAUGGGGGCUGGAGUAAGGGUUCUUCAUUAUAAAUUACAUAAAUCUUAUGAAACAUCAAAAUCAUCAAGAAUGCUAUGCAUAUUUAUAGUUCUAUCCCUUCCUACAUUCACUAUUUAUCUGGUGCCAAUUAUCCACCUUGUUCAGGAUUUUGAGGCAGUAAUGGUAGUAAAAGGUUGAACCCGUAGGAACUAUUUUCAGGCAUGAUCUACAAUACCAUUCCCGAACAGAUUAAACAAGGAAGAUUGUUCAUCAUUAUGGUUAUGGGUACAAAAAAUUUGUCAGCACGUUCUGUGUC
This 397-nucleotide long non-coding RNA is filed under the name Elaeis guineensis (African oil palm). RNAcentral's name for it is "long non-coding RNA (EGUI_LNC035289)". The record is from RNAcentral. Lineage: Eukaryota; Viridiplantae; Streptophyta; Magnoliopsida; Arecales; Arecaceae.